AUGCACGCUAGCUACAGGCUUAACACCUGCAAGUCGAGGGGAAACGACAUCGAAAGCUUGCUUUUGAUGGGCGUCGACCGGCGCACGGGUGAGUAACGCGUAUCCAACCUGCCCACCACUUGGGGAUAACCUUGCGAAAGUAAGACUAAUACCCAAUGACGUCUCUAGAAGACAUCUGAAAGAGAUUAAAGAUUUAUCGGUGAUGGAUGGGGAUGCGUCUGAUUAGCUUGUUGGCGGGGUAACGGCCCACCAAGGCGACGAUCAGUAGGGGUUCUGAGAGGAAGGUCCCCCACAUUGGAACUGAGACACGGUCCAAACUCCUACGGGAGGCAGCAGUGAGGAAUAUUGGUCAAUGGACGAGAGUCUGAACCAGCCAAGUAGCGUGCAGGAUGACGGCCCUAUGGGUUGUAAACUGCUUUUAUAAGGGAAUAAAGUGAGUCUCGUGAGACUUUUUGCAUGUACCUUAUGAAUAAGGACCGGCUAAUUCCGUG
Molecule: ribosomal RNA, 491 nt
Filed under: uncultured bacterium
Lineage: Bacteria
Description: partial 16S ribosomal RNA
Rfam family: Bacterial small subunit ribosomal RNA
Source: RNAcentral